Molecule: microRNA precursor, 208 nt
Filed under: Setaria italica (foxtail millet)
Lineage: Eukaryota; Viridiplantae; Streptophyta; Magnoliopsida; Poales; Poaceae
Description: MIR1435 microRNA precursor family
Rfam family: MIR1435 microRNA precursor family
Source: Rfam by way of RNAcentral
UAAUUUUAUUCUAAGUCAAACAUGUCCAACUUUGACUAAGUUUAUAGAAAAAUACAACAACAACUAUACUACCAAACAUUGAAACAUAUGCACUAUCAAAAUAUAUUCCAUUGUGGAUUCAAUUAAACAAUUUUGGUAUUGUAGAUGUUGUUGGAAUUUUCUAUAAACUUGGUCAAAGUGGCACAUGUUUGACUUAGGACAAACCUAA